CAGUCACACUAGGCUAGGUGACUUUACCCUUGCACAGGAUUCUCGACCCUUACCUCAGGAUCAGCCCUUGAUCAGGACGACUAGUCCUAGCCUACGCGCGUUGUUGCAGCGCAGAAAUUUCUAAUGGAGCCCAUCAUGCCCACCACUGAAGCUAUUUCUAGUAACAUGGAGUCAACGAGUGGCCCUUUCCCAUGAAAUAUACAAAUGAGGCAGGAGCAUGCACAUUACUACCACAGGAAUUCUUUGUCAAGCAGCAGAGAGCAAAAGAGACGAGAAUGUCUUGGUACGCAUUUGGGAUAAAGACUGUGUUAUUCUGGAGGUUUGAUAUCGCACCUCUGGUUACAAAUCAUACAGUCAGUUCCUGACAAGGAGAAGCAAGGAUCCUGAAGGGGUUGUGAUGGGAAGAUCUGUUUAGAUGAAGUGUCCAGUAUAAAGAGCGUUGCUUACUGUCAGAUUGUAUUAAAGGAGUGAACUUCAGAUGGAGCACCAAGAGGCCUACGAGAUGUUCAACAGAGAUAGUGAUUGAUGGCUAGGUUGAAGUGCUGGCUCAAAAGAGAUUAUCCUCAGCUCUGCUCCCACACGCCUUUCUGGAGAAACAAGUGUAAGAUUGUCAACUCCUCCACAUCGUCAUCAAGAACUUUGGCCGAAUCUUUGGACAUUUCAGAGCAUGGUUCAUUAACCGACAUGUCUGACUUGGAAACUGGUACAGAUGCUCCCACGUCUUCAUACGUUGUUACAUGACAGGAUGACACUCUGUAGUUAAUAAUUUUUGAUUGAUAAUAAUGAAAAAAUGCUCCGGGGUUCCAAUUUGUAGCCCUCUUCAGCGUUGUCUUUUGAAGGAAGCACGAAGCAUCUUGAUUUCAUAGCUGUCCUGUUCAUUAGAGUUGCUUCCUUUACCUUUGCAUUAUGAAUUUGAUUUAUAAAAAUAGCAUUACAUCUGAAUUAAAUGUGCUCUUUUGAUAAUCAACGUAACCGGUGAAAUUAACCUUUUGGGGACAUUUUUCUUAAUGCCUUGUGUCAUAAUCGUAUGGCCCGUUCCAGAUAGUAACACCAAAGUAUGAAUAAGUCAUUUGAUUUGGAAUUGGGGGCCAUUUUUAGCACCUAAUGAUUGGCUGUAACAAGGGGGGCGUCUGUCGGAAACAAAAUUACAUUAGGAGUACAUUGAGUGAAGUUCC
Molecule: long non-coding RNA, 1175 nt
Organism: Acanthaster planci (crown-of-thorns starfish)
Lineage: Eukaryota; Metazoa; Echinodermata; Asteroidea; Valvatida; Acanthasteridae
Source: RefSeq, a predicted model, not a curated record